CAUGCAAGUCGAGCGAACAGAUGAGAAGCUUGCUUCUCUGAUGUUAGCGGCGGACGGGUGAGUAACACGUGGGUAACCUACCUAUAAGACUGGGAUAACUCCGGGAAACCGGGGCUAAUACCUGAUAAUAUUUUGAACCGCAUGGUUCAAUAGUGAAAGACGGCUUCGGCUGUCACUUAUAGAUGGACCCGCGCCGUAUUAGCUAGUUGGUAAGGUAAUGGCUUACCAAGGCAACGAUACGUAGCCGACCUGAGAGGGUGAUCGGCCACACUGGAACUGAGACACGGUCCAGACUCCUACGGGAGGCAGCAGUAGGGAAUCUUCCGCAAUGGGCGAAAGCCUGACGGAGCAACGCCGCGUGAGUGAUGAAGGUCUUAGGAUCGUAAAACUCUGUUGUUAGGGAAGAACAAAUUUGUUAGUAACUGAACAAGUCUUGACGGUACCUAACCAGAAAGCCACGGCUAA
RNAcentral lists this ribosomal RNA (465 nucleotides) under Mammaliicoccus vitulinus. RNAcentral describes it as "bacterial SSU rRNA". It matches the Rfam family "Bacterial small subunit ribosomal RNA", at positions 54 to 500 of the family's 1533-position model. Lineage: Bacteria; Bacillati; Bacillota; Bacilli; Caryophanales; Staphylococcaceae. The record is from RNAcentral.